UAUAGUUCAGUGGCAUGAGCAUUUGCCUAGCAAGCACAAGGUCUUGAGUUCAAUUCUCAGUA
Molecule: transfer RNA, 62 nt
Filed under: Cavia porcellus (domestic guinea pig)
Lineage: Eukaryota; Metazoa; Chordata; Mammalia; Rodentia; Caviidae
Rfam family: tRNA
About the family: Transfer RNA (tRNA) molecules are approximately 80 nucleotides in length. Their secondary structure includes four short double-helical elements and three loops (D, anti-codon, and T loops).
Source: Rfam by way of RNAcentral